Molecule: ribosomal RNA, 480 nt
Filed under: uncultured bacterium
Lineage: Bacteria
Description: bacterial SSU rRNA
Rfam family: Bacterial small subunit ribosomal RNA
Source: RNAcentral
UCAGUCGACUCCUACGGGGAGGCAGCAGUGGGGGAAUAGUUGCACAAUAGGGCGCAAGCCUGAUGCAGCCAUGCCGCGUGUAUGAAGAAGGCCUUCGGGUUGUAAAGUACUUUCAGCAGUGAGGAAGGUGGAGUCGUUAAUAGCGGCCUCAUUUGACGUUAGCUGCAGAAGAAGCACCGGCUAACUCCGUGCCAGCAGCCGCGGUAAUACGGAGGGUGCGAGCGUUAAUCGGAAUUACUGGGCGUAAAGCGCAUGCAGGUGGUUUGUUAAGUCAGAUGUGAAAGACCCGGGGCUCAACCUCGGAAUUGCAUUUGAAACUGGCAGACUAGAGUACUGUAGAGGGGGGUAGGAAUUUCAGGUGUAGCGGUGAAAUGCGUAGAGAUCUGAAGGAAUACCGGUGGCGAAGGCGGCCCCCUCGGACAGAUACUGACACUCAGAUGCGAAAGCGUGGGGAGCAAACAGGAUUAGAUACCCUGGUAG